AACUGCUCUUUAACAAUUUAUCAGACAAUCUGUGUGGGCACUCAAAGUGACAUGGAUUCUUAACGUCCUCGGACGAAAAAUGAAUACCAAGUCUCAAGAGUGAACACGUAAUUCAUUACGAAGUUUAAUUCUUUGAGCAUCAAACUUAAAUUGAAGAGUUUGAUCAUGGCUCAGAUUGAACGCUGGCGGCAGGCCUAACACAUGCAAGUCGAGCGGUAGCACAGAGAGCUUGCUCUCGGGUGACGAGCGGCGGACGGGUGAGUAAUGUCUGGGAAACUGCCUGAUGGAGGGGGAUAACUACUGGAAACGGUAGCUAAUACCGCAUAAUGUCGCAAGACCAAAGUGGGGGACCUUCGGGCCUCAUGCCAUCAGAUGUGCCCAGAUGGGAUUAGCUAGUAGGUGGGGUAACGGCUCACCUAGGCGACGAUCCCUAGCUGGUCUGAGAGGAUGACCAGCCACACUGGAACUGAGACACGGUCCAGACUCCUACGGGAGGCAGCAGUGGGGAAUAUUGCACAAUGGGCGCAAGCCUGAUGCAGCCAUGCCGCGUGUGUGAAGAAGGCCUUCGGGUUGUAAAGCACUUUCAGCGGGGAGGAAGGCGGUGAGGUUAAUAACCUCAUCGAUUGACGUUACCCGCAGAAGAAGCACCGGCUAACUCCGUGCCAGCAGCCGCGGUAAUACGGAGGGUGCAAGCGUUAAUCGGAAUUACUGGGCGUAAAGCGCACGCAGGCGGUCUGUCAAGUCGGAUGUGAAAUCCCCGGGCUCAACCUGGGAACUGCAUUCGAAACUGGCAGGCUAGAGUCUUGUAGAGGGGGGUAGAAUUCCAGGUGUAGCGGUGAAAUGCGUAGAGAUCUGGAGGAAUACCGGUGGCGAAGGCGGCCCCCUGGACAAAGACUGACGCUCAGGUGCGAAAGCGUGGGGAGCAAACAGGAUUAGAUACCCUGGUAGUCCACGCCGUAAACGAUGUCGAUUUGGAGGUUGUGCCCUUGAGGCGUGGCUUCCGGAGCUAACGCGUUAAAUCGACCGCCUGGGGAGUACGGCCGCAAGGUUAAAACUCAAAUGAAUUGACGGGGGCCCGCACAAGCGGUGGAGCAUGUGGUUUAAUUCGAUGCAACGCGAAGAACCUUACCUGGUCUUGACAUCCACAGAACUUUCCAGAGAUGGAUUGGUGCCUUCGGGAACUGUGAGACAGGUGCUGCAUGGCUGUCGUCAGCUCGUGUUGUGAAAUGUUGGGUUAAGUCCCGCAACGAGCGCAACCCUUAUCCUUUGUUGCCAGCGGUCCGGCCGGGAACUCAAAGGAGACUGCCAGUGAUAAACUGGAGGAAGGUGGGGAUGACGUCAAGUCAUCAUGGCCCUUACGACCAGGGCUACACACGUGCUACAAUGGCAUAUACAAAGAGAAGCGACCUCGCGAGAGCAAGCGGACCUCAUAAAGUAUGUCGUAGUCCGGAUUGGAGUCUGCAACUCGACUCCAUGAAGUCGGAAUCGCUAGUAAUCGUAGAUCAGAAUGCUACGGUGAAUACGUUCCCGGGCCUUGUACACACCGCCCGUCACACCAUGGGAGUGGGUUGCAAAAGAAGUAGGUAGCUUAACCUUCGGGAGGGCGCUUACCACUUUGUGAUUCAUGACUGGGGUGAAGUCGUAACAAGGUAACCGUAGGGGAACCUGCGGUUGGAUCACCUCCUUA
RNAcentral lists this ribosomal RNA (1687 nucleotides) under Klebsiella pneumoniae subsp. pneumoniae. RNAcentral describes it as "16S ribosomal RNA". It matches the Rfam family "Bacterial small subunit ribosomal RNA". Lineage: Bacteria; Pseudomonadati; Pseudomonadota; Gammaproteobacteria; Enterobacterales; Enterobacteriaceae. The record is from RNAcentral.